CACCGCGGUUAUAGAGAGGCCCUAAUUGAUAAACACGGCGUAAAGAGUGGUUACGGGAUCCGCACACUAAAGUCGAAACCCCCUCUAACUGUUAUACGCACUCAGGGGCCCUAAUUUCUUUUACGAAAGUGACUUUACUUAUGUCUACCAGAACCCACGACAGCUAGGGCA
RNAcentral lists this ribosomal RNA (171 nucleotides) under Stolephorus commersonnii (Commerson's anchovy). RNAcentral's name for it is "partial small subunit ribosomal RNA". The record is from RNAcentral. Lineage: Eukaryota; Metazoa; Chordata; Actinopteri; Clupeiformes; Engraulidae.